RNAcentral lists this ribosomal RNA (222 nucleotides) under uncultured bacterium. RNAcentral describes it as "partial 16S ribosomal RNA". It matches the Rfam family "Bacterial small subunit ribosomal RNA", at positions 1270 to 1500 of the family's 1533-position model. The record is from RNAcentral.
GAUCUCGAAAGCCUGUCCCAGUUCGGACUGGAGUCUGCAACCCGACUCCACGAAGUUGGAUUCGCUAGUAAUCGCGCAUCAGCCAUGGCGCGGUGAAUACGUUCCCGGGCCUUGUACACACCGCCCGUCAAGCCAUGGGAGCCGGGGGCGCCUGAAGUCCGGGACCGCGAGGACCGGCCUAGGGCGAAACUGGUAACUGGGGCUAAGUCGUAACAAGGUAUC